Molecule: RNase MRP RNA, 390 nt
Filed under: Piromyces finnis
Lineage: Eukaryota; Fungi; Neocallimastigomycota; Neocallimastigomycetes; Neocallimastigales; Neocallimastigaceae
Description: RNase MRP
Rfam family: RNase MRP
About the family: RNase MRP is an enzymatically active ribonucleoprotein with two distinct roles in eukaryotes. In mitochondria it plays a direct role in the initiation of mitochondrial DNA replication.
Source: Rfam by way of RNAcentral
AAACACCUCAAAGAAUCGCGAACGAAGCAUCACAUACUAAAAGUUAACUAUUUAUAGUUAGACUUUUUUAAAUAUUGCGUAUUCGCCUUUUAGUGGUUGAAUAAAGGCAAUAAAUGCUUUGGGGAAAGUCCUCGGAUACUAGGGCAGAAAGUGUCGCCUUUAGUUUAGGGUCAUAUUAGAGUUCAAUAAUCCUGCGAAGAAUUGAAGUUUUAAACUUUAAUUAUAGCUAUAUGGAUAGAUGAAUAUUUAAUAUUGAUCAUCAUAGCAAAGUUAUGCGAUUGUAUCAAAUCAAAGUUAUUUUAUUAAAGAAAUUGUGAGACUUACUUUUAUGUUUGUCUCUGUUCUCUAAUAAAAUUGAUAUAACACAACGAGGCUUACUCUUGAGAUGUU